AAAAAAAUGAGAGAAAAAAAGAGAAAAGGAAGCUUACAAGAUAUUAACUAGAGGCACGAGUGAGUAGAUAAGUGAUGCUACGUCGUGUGCAAGUGAUAAGUGAAGAUGGAUUAUAAUUAUCGUACAGUACACACACGCAGUCUUGUUUCCCCAGGGGUGUGUGUCUUACUUUGUUAAACACGCGCCCCAGAGUACAUAUUAAAAAGAAAGGUGAAAAAUAAAUGAAGAUUGAAAGUAAUUAUAAAAAUACUAAUAAUACCGAAAGAGGAAGGAGAAGAAAAAGUGAAAACAAAAGAGAAAGAAGAGGAACAAGAACAAGAAAACUCGUGAAUAAGAAAGAAGACGAAGAAGCAAAUGAAAAAGAAGAAAAUGACUGAAAAAUAAGAAGAAAAUUAUAUUGAAAAAAAGUAUAACAACAGCAACAACAACAACAACAACAACAACAGUGCAAAAUCAAGAAAGGCACUAAAAGCUUUCUGUUUCCAAGGAAAGGAAGAAAAUGCUGGUUAAUUUAGGGCGCCGUUGCAAGGAAGGACUAAUGGCGAGGGAAAGAAAGGCAGGAAUGAGGAAGGACGUAGUAAAGAAGUGAAGAAGUAACACAUACAUAUAUCAAGGAAAGCCGCCGCGCCGCCACUGUGCCGCUGGGGGGUGUCUGUCUGUCUGCGCCCCACACUGGCUGCCGCCCACACACGAUGCACGCGCCGCGCGCCGCCAUGCCGGGUGUCCUGUACUCACGCGAUAUAUGUAUAUUGUGCCAUGAUCAUCUGAAGCGC
Molecule: long non-coding RNA, 773 nt
Organism: Scylla paramamosain (green mud crab)
Lineage: Eukaryota; Metazoa; Arthropoda; Malacostraca; Decapoda; Portunidae
Exons: 2
Source: RefSeq, a predicted model, not a curated record